AUUGAACGCUGGCGGCAGGCCUAACACAUGCAAGUCGAGCGGAUGAAGGGAGCUUGCUCCUGGAUUCAGCGGCGGACGGGUGAGUAAUGCCUAGGAAUCUGCCUGGUAGUGGGGGAUAACGUCCGGAGACGGGCGCUAAUACCGCAUACGUCCUGAUGGCGAAAGAGGGGGAUCUUCGGACCUCACGCUAUCAGAUGAGCCUAGGUCGGAUUAGCUAGUUGGUGGGGUAAAGGCCUACUAAGGCGACGAUCCGUAACUGGUCUGAGAGGAUGAUCAGUCACACUGGAAGUGAGACACGGUCCAGACUCCUACGGGAGGCCGCAGUGGGGAAUAUUGGACAAUGGGCGAAAGCCUGAUCCAGCCAUGCCGCGUGUGUGAAGAAGGUCUUCGGAUUGUAAAGCACUUUAAGUUGGGAGGAAGGGCAGUAAGUUAAGACCUUGCUGUUUUGACGUUACCAACAGAAGAAGCACCGGCUAACUUCGUG
This 484-nucleotide ribosomal RNA is filed under the name uncultured bacterium. Its description in RNAcentral is "partial 16S ribosomal RNA". It matches the Rfam family "Bacterial small subunit ribosomal RNA", at positions 30 to 507 of the family's 1533-position model. The record is from RNAcentral.